CACACCCAGCCGCAGCAUUCCGGAAUCCCCGGUGCCUUGGAUGAAGGAUACAACCGUGCAUCGCAAAUCCAGCAGAAGAAGGAGGAGCUUUACAAUCUCAUCGCCAAGGCUGUGGCGGAGCCCACUACCACCUGGCUGGACAGGCGACUGCUCAAGGCUCUCUCCCUGCAAGUCAAGCCUAGACCAAAGGACCCUCAGUGGCGCAAGAUAAUUUUGACCAAGGUGGCCACCCAUUGUACAUAUGCUGUGGGUAUUCUUGUUGCCUAUGUCAGAUGUCCUCGCACUGAAGACGGUGCUAAAAUAGUAAGGUAUGAUGGACAUCUUGUUACUGCUGAGAGUCUGCCCAUGCUAAAAGGAUAGGAGGCUGCUGCUACUUCUGAGGGAGUGCCCAAGCAAUUGGGUUGAAGACAAAAUGCAGCUUGUUUGAUGGAGAAGCAAGACGGAUAUCAGUUCUAUAUAUUCCAGCACUAUAUUAUUAUGUAUGUCUAUAUCAUGUGCUAGCUAGAACAUGAGUAGUAGUAUUACUGGAUGAUCUCUGUGGUCGCAUUCUAAGAUAUUUAUGAUGUUGCUGGCAUGGUAUGAAGAUGAGUCUAGUAGUAUUUCUGUUUGAGCAAAUUUCUGCUUUAGCAACUGAAUGGCUGUGUGAUCGCUUUCUAAGAGAAUAUAGCUCUUUGUGAUA
Molecule: long non-coding RNA, 679 nt
Organism: Triticum dicoccoides
Lineage: Eukaryota; Viridiplantae; Streptophyta; Magnoliopsida; Poales; Poaceae
Exons: 3
Source: RefSeq, a predicted model, not a curated record